Panicum virgatum (switchgrass) is the source of this 311-nucleotide long non-coding RNA. RefSeq lists it as uncharacterized. The transcript is spliced from 2 exons. NCBI's taxonomy places the organism in Eukaryota, Viridiplantae, Streptophyta, Magnoliopsida, Poales, Poaceae. The record is from RefSeq and is a predicted model, not a curated record.
GGAGGUCGCGCGCGCGGUGACGGGCCUCGGUGACGAGCUCGCAUUCGUCGCCCGCUCCACCGGUGACCCGCGCCUCAGCUCUCCCCCCGACCCCUCCCUUGGAUCCCAUCUCACCUCCGUGGCUCCGUCCGUCACCAAGCUCCCUCCCUUCCUCUCUCAUCUCCCAGAUCAUCUCCGGCCCCAAGCUCCCUCCCGUUCGAUGUCAAGUGUUCAGUGUGCCUCCACAACUUGGACGCAGAGCAGUUCAAGGAAUUUCUAUGGUGAUGAAUUUGCUCCUUGAGUACAAACUGUGACGAUGAGCAGAGGUAUGG